RNAcentral lists this ribosomal RNA (497 nucleotides) under uncultured bacterium. RNAcentral's name for it is "partial 16S ribosomal RNA". It matches the Rfam family "Bacterial small subunit ribosomal RNA", at positions 28 to 506 of the family's 1533-position model. The record is from RNAcentral.
GAUGAACGCUGGCGGCGUGCCUAAUACAUGCAAGUCGAGCGAACAGACGAGGAGCUUGCUCCUCUGACGUUAGCGGCGGACGGGUGAGUAACACGUGGAUAACCUACCUAUAAGACUGGGAUAACUUCGGGAAACCGGAGCUAAUACCGGAUAAUAUAUUGAACCGCAUGGUUCAAUAGUGAAAGACGGUUUUGCUGUCACUUAUAGAUGGAUCCGCGCCGCAUUAGCUAGUUGGUAAGGUAACGGCUUACCAAGGCGACGAUGCGUAGCCGACCUGAGAGGGGGGUUCGCCCACCCUGGACCGGAGCACCGGCCCAGCCUCCUACGGGGGGCAGCGGUAGGGAAUUUUCCGCAAGGGGCGAAAGCCUGACGGAGCAACGCCGGGUGGGUGAUGAAGGUUUUCGGUUCUUAAAACCCUGUUAUUAGGGAAGAAAAAAUGUGUAAGUAACUAUGCCCGUCUUGACGGUACCUAAUCAAAAAGCCCCGGCUACCUACUU